AACGCACAUGGCGCCUUCCAGUAUCCUGGGAGGCAUGCCUGUCCGAGCGUCGUUUCAACCCUCGAGCCCCUGUGGCCCGGCGUUGGGGAUCUGCCACGGCAGGCCCCUAAAACCAGUGGCGGACCCGAAGGGCCCUCUCCUUUGCGCAGUAGCAUUAGCCUCGCAUCGGGAGCCCUCGGCGUCCUGCCUCUAAACCCCCCCCAAAGCCCGCUCCGGCGGCACCAAGGUUGACCUCGGAUCAGGUAGGAAUACCCGCUGAACUUAA
RNAcentral lists this unclassified non-coding RNA (265 nucleotides) under uncultured Plectosphaerella. Its description in RNAcentral is "sequence contains ITS2". Lineage: Eukaryota; Fungi; Ascomycota; Sordariomycetes; Glomerellales; Plectosphaerellaceae. The record is from RNAcentral.